UACGAAGGGGGCUAGCGUUGUUCGGAUUUACUGGGCGUAAAGCGCGUGUAGGCGGAUCGUUAAGUCGGGGGUGAAAGCCCAGAGCUCAACUCUGGAAUUGCCUUCGAUACUGGCGGUCUGGAGCAGAGAAGAGGCGAGUGGAAUUCCGAGUGUAGAGGUGAAAUUCGUAGAUAGUCGGAGGAACACCAGUGGCGAAGGCGGCUCGCCGGGCUCUUGCUGACGCUGAGACGCGAAAGCGUGGGGAGCAAACAGG
This 253-nucleotide ribosomal RNA is filed under the name uncultured bacterium. RNAcentral's name for it is "partial 16S ribosomal RNA". It matches the Rfam family "Bacterial small subunit ribosomal RNA", at positions 524 to 776 of the family's 1533-position model. The record is from RNAcentral.